AAAAAGGCCCUUUUUAAGGGCCACCACAUUUUUAAGUUCAUAUAAUAU
Non-coding RNA from Acyrthosiphon pisum (pea aphid), 48 nucleotides. The record is from Rfam. Lineage: Eukaryota; Metazoa; Arthropoda; Insecta; Hemiptera; Aphididae.